Onychostoma macrolepis is the source of this 767-nucleotide long non-coding RNA. RefSeq lists it as uncharacterized. NCBI's taxonomy places the organism in Eukaryota, Metazoa, Chordata, Actinopteri, Cypriniformes, Cyprinidae. The record is from RefSeq and is a predicted model, not a curated record. The transcript has 3 exons.
UAAAACCAAAAUAUAUAUAUAAUUCUGCCUUGUGUCUCUCUGAAAUCAUUACAGAGUUUUAGAGAUUGAUGGAUUAAGUGAAUGAGAUUGUAAUGAAAACACUGAUGAUGAUAAUGUUGUAUGUGUUUGUGUACUUUAUGUACAGAAGGAGGUGUCACUCUUUUCUUCCUGAAGGUUCCCUGUUGUGUCCAUAAACGAGCCUCCCCUGGUAGUCGCACCCCUAGUCCAAACAGUAGUCCCUGUUAUCUGGCGCCCCUGUGUUGCCUGGUACUGCAGGACCUUGGAGGACCCUCCACCCUCUCUGAACAGAGCAGCUCCCCAGCGUAGAGGCUCCAUUGGCUGGCUUAUCUCCUCGUCUGUUGGUCCCAAAAGCAUACAUAAAGGAGAGAGAGGCCUAACAUGACUUGUCCUGAUCCACAUCCCCAUCUAUUCACAAAGUGGUCCAUGAGCCUGCGAUGCGAAGCAAAGCGACAAUGGGAUCAGUCCGCAUUUGCAUUAUGAGCACACAAUGCAUGACACAAGCUUGCCCAGAGAGAUAUUUCUGCUCAGAAAAUAUCUGGCUUCAGAAGGAUCUGUCUGCGGUGCUCAGCGUCACUCCACUGACUCUGUCUCUUGCUUAUUAACAAACCAGCCUGUCACUUUAUAAACCCUGUUUCAGCUUUCCCUCAGCCGUACACACAUACACAUCAUGAAAUACACUUAGACAAUGGAAAACACACAAAUUGUAGUAAUGCAUAUUAGAAAUUUUGGGGAAUUCUACACAAAAA